RNAcentral lists this ribosomal RNA (465 nucleotides) under Vreelandella stevensii. RNAcentral's name for it is "partial 16S ribosomal RNA". It matches the Rfam family "Bacterial small subunit ribosomal RNA", at positions 338 to 795 of the family's 1533-position model. Lineage: Bacteria; Pseudomonadati; Pseudomonadota; Gammaproteobacteria; Oceanospirillales; Halomonadaceae. The record is from RNAcentral.
CCUACGGGUGGCUGCAGUGGGGAAUAUUGGACAAUGGGGGGAACCCUGAUCCAGCCAUGCCGCGUGUGUGAAGAAGGCCCUCGGGUUGUAAAGCACUUUCAGUGAGGAAGAACGCCUGGUGGUUAAUACCCAUCAGGAAAGACAUCACUCACAGAAGAAGCACCGGCUAACUCCGUGUCAGCAGCCGCGGUAAUACGGAGGGUGCGAGCGUUAAUCGGAAUUACUGGGCGUAAAGCGCGCGUAGGUGGCUUGAUAAGCCGGUUGUGAAAGCCCCGGGCUCAACCUGGGAACGGCAUCCGGAACUGUCAAGCUAGAGUGCAGGAGAGGAAGGUAGAAUUCCCGGUGUAGCGGUGAAAUGCGUAGAGAUCGGGAGGAAUACCAGUGGCGAAGGCGGCCUUCUGGACUGACACUGACACUGAGGUGCGAAAGCGUGGGUAGCAAACAGGAUUAGAUACCCCAGUAGUC